This 78-nucleotide transfer RNA is filed under the name Sphaerodactylus townsendi. Its description in RNAcentral is "tRNA-Ala". Lineage: Eukaryota; Metazoa; Chordata; Lepidosauria; Squamata; Sphaerodactylidae. The record is from RNAcentral.
GGGGCCGUGGCUGUGGCUCAGUGGCACAGUGUCUACUUGGCAUGCAAAAGAUCCCAGGUUCAAUCCCCGGCACCUCCA